RNAcentral lists this ribosomal RNA (573 nucleotides) under Escherichia coli. Its description in RNAcentral is "partial 23S ribosomal RNA". It matches the Rfam family "Bacterial large subunit ribosomal RNA", at positions 2370 to 2925 of the family's 2925-position model. Lineage: Bacteria; Pseudomonadati; Pseudomonadota; Gammaproteobacteria; Enterobacterales; Enterobacteriaceae. The record is from RNAcentral.
UGACUGCGAGCGUGACGGCGCGAGCAGGUGCGAAAGCAGGUCAUAGUGAUCCGGUGGUUCUGAAUGGAAGGGCCAUCGCUCAACGGAUAAAAGGUACUCCGGGGAUAACAGGCUGAUACCGCCCAAGAGUUCAUAUCGACGGCGGUGUUUGGCACCUCGAUGUCGGCUCAUCACAUCCUGGGGCUGAAGUAGGUCCCAAGGGUAUGGCUGUUCGCCAUUUAAAGUGGUACGCGAGCUGGGUUUAGAACGUCGUGAGACAGUUCGGUCCCUAUCUGCCGUGGGCGCUGGAGAACUGAGGGGGGCUGCUCCUAGUACGAGAGGACCGGAGUGGACGCAUCACUGGUGUUCGGGUUGUCAUGCCAAUGGCACUGCCCGGUAGCUAAAUGCGGAAGAGAUAAGUGCUGAAAGCAUCUAAGCACGAAACUUGCCCCGAGAUGAGUUCUCCCUGACUCCUUGAGAGUCCUGAAGGAACGUUGAAGACGACGACGUUGAUAGGCCGGGUGUGUAAGCGCAGCGAUGCGUUGAGCUAACCGGUACUAAUGAACCGUGAGGCUUAACCUUACAACGCCGAAG